GCCUCUGUGGUGAAAUUGGUAGACACGCUACAUUUAGGCUGUAGUCUUUUAACAGGUGAGAGUUCGAGUCUCUCCGGAGGCA
Molecule: transfer RNA, 82 nt
Filed under: Chloropicon sp. RCC4434
Lineage: Eukaryota; Viridiplantae; Chlorophyta; Chloropicophyceae; Chloropicales; Chloropicaceae
Description: tRNA-Leu
Rfam family: tRNA
About the family: Transfer RNA (tRNA) molecules are approximately 80 nucleotides in length. Their secondary structure includes four short double-helical elements and three loops (D, anti-codon, and T loops). Further hydrogen bonds mediate the characteristic L-shaped molecular structure. tRNAs have two regions of fundamental functional importance: the anti-codon, which is responsible for specific mRNA codon recognition, and the 3' end, to which the tRNAs corresponding amino acid is attached (by aminoacyl-tRNA synthetases). tRNAs cope with the degeneracy of the genetic code in two manners: having more than one tRNA (with a specific anti-codon) for a particular amino acid; and 'wobble' base-pairing, i.e. permitting non-standard base-pairing at the 3rd anti-codon position.
Source: RNAcentral